UACGUAGGGGGCAAGCGUUGUCCGGAUUUACUGGGCGUAAAGGGCGCGUAGGCGGCCUGCUAAGUCGAACGUGAAAUCCCUGGGCUCAACCCAGGAACUGCGUCCGAUACUGGUUGGCUUGAAUCCGGGAGAGGGAUGUGGAAUUCCAGGUGUAGCGGUGAAAUGCGCAGAUAUCAGGAAGAACACCCGUGGCGAAGGCGGCUCUCUGGGACGGUACUGACGCUGAGACGCGAAAGCGUGGGGAGCGAACAGG
This 253-nucleotide ribosomal RNA is filed under the name uncultured bacterium. RNAcentral's name for it is "partial 16S ribosomal RNA". It matches the Rfam family "Bacterial small subunit ribosomal RNA", at positions 524 to 776 of the family's 1533-position model. The record is from RNAcentral.